RNAcentral lists this ribosomal RNA (493 nucleotides) under uncultured bacterium. Its description in RNAcentral is "partial 16S ribosomal RNA". It matches the Rfam family "Bacterial small subunit ribosomal RNA", at positions 28 to 506 of the family's 1533-position model. The record is from RNAcentral.
GACGAACGCUGGCGGCGCGCUUAACACAUGCAAGUCGAACGGAAAGGCCUGCUUUCCCUUGUGGAUUGCGGGUACUCGAGUGGCGAACGGGUGAGUAACACGUGAGUGAUCUGCCCCCAACUUGGGUAUAAGCCUGGGAAACUGUGUCUAAUUCCCGAUAGGACUGCAGGGUUGUGCCUGUGGUGGAAAACGAUUUUCUAGUGGUUGGGGAUGAGCUCGCGGCCUAUCAGCUUGUUGGUGGGGUAAUGUCCUACCAAGGCGGUGACUGGUAGCCGGCCUGGGAGGGUGGACGGCGACAUUGGGACUGAGCUACGGCCCAGAGUGAUGCGGGAGGAAGCAGUGGGGAAUAUUGCACGAUGGGCGGAAGCAUGAUGCCGCGGCGACGCGUGGGGGAUGACGGACUUCGGGUUGUAAACUCCUUUCGACAGCGAGGAAGCCACCUGGUUGGAAGGGUGGUGACGGUAGUGGUAGAAGAAGCACCGCCUAACUACGU